GGCUAACUACGUGCCAGCAGCCGCGGUAAUACGUAGGGAGCGAGCGUUAUCCGGAAUUAUUGGGCGUAAAGGGUGCGUAGACGGCAUAAGAAGUCUUUUGUAAAAUUCUGGGGCUUAACCCCAGCGAGCAAAAGAAACUCUUAAGCUAGAGUACGGUAGAGGCAAGUGGAAUUCCAUGUGUAGCGGUAAAAUGCGUAAAUAUAUGGAGGAACACCAGUGGCGAAGGCGGCUUGCUGGGCCUGUACUGACGUUGAGGCACGAAAGCGUGGGGAGCAAACAGGAUUAGAUACCCUGGUAGUCCACGCCCUAAACGAUGAGUACUAAGUGUUGCCGUAAGGCAGUGCUGAAGUUAACGCAUUAAGUACUCCGCCUGAGUAGUACGUACGCAAGUAUGAAACUUAAAGGAAUUGACGGGAGCCCGCACAAGCGGUGGAGCAUGUUGUUUAAUUCGACGAUACGCGAAGAACCUUACCAGGUCUUGACAUCCGUCGCGAAGCUAUAGAGAUAUAGUGGAGGUUAGCGGCGAGACAGGUGGUGCAUGGUUGUCGUCAGCUCGUGUCGUGAGAUGUUGGGUUAAGUCCCGCAACGAGCGCAACCCUUAUUUCUAGUUACCAGCAGUAAGAUGGGGACUCUAGAGAGACUGCCAGUGACAAACUGGAGGAAGGCGGGGAUGACGUCAAAUCAUCAUGCCCCUUAUGACCUGGGCUACAAACGUGCUACAAUGGCUGAAACAAAGAGAAGCGAACCUGUGAAGGCAAGCAAACCUCAUAAAAGCAGUCUCAGUUCGGAUUGAAGUCUGCAACUCGACUUCAUGAAGUUGGAAUCGCUAGUAAUCGUGGAUCAGAAUGCCACGGUGAAUACGUUCUCGGGCUUUGUACACACUGCCCGUCAAACCAUGAGAGUUUGUAAUACCCGAAGCCGGUGGCCGAACCGCAAGGAAGGAGCCGUCUAAGGUAGGACAGAUGAUUGGGGUUAAGUCGUAACAAGGUAUCCCUACGAGAACGUGGGGAUG
This 1012-nucleotide ribosomal RNA is filed under the name feces metagenome. Its description in RNAcentral is "bacterial SSU rRNA". It matches the Rfam family "Bacterial small subunit ribosomal RNA", at positions 495 to 1520 of the family's 1533-position model. The record is from RNAcentral.